RNAcentral lists this ribosomal RNA (497 nucleotides) under uncultured bacterium. Its description in RNAcentral is "partial 16S ribosomal RNA". It matches the Rfam family "Bacterial small subunit ribosomal RNA", at positions 28 to 507 of the family's 1533-position model. The record is from RNAcentral.
GAUGAACGCUGGCGGCGUGCCUAAUACAUGCAAGUCGAGCGAACAGACGAGGAGCUUGCUCCUCUGACGUUAGCGGCGGACGGGUGAGUAACACGUGGAUAACCUACCUAUAAGACUGGGAUAACUUCGGGAAACCGGAGCUAAUACCGGAUAAUAUAUUGAACCGCAUGGUUCAAUAGUGAAAGACGGUUUUGCUGUCACGUAUAGAUGGAUCCGCGCCGCAUUAGCUAGUUGGUAAGGUAACGGCUUACCAAGGCAACGAUGCGUAGCCGACCUGAGAGGGUGAUCGGCCACACUGGAACUGAGACACGGCCCAGACUCCUACGGGAGGCAGCAGUAGGGAAGCUUCCGCCAUGGGCGAAAGCCUGACGGAGCAACGCCGCGUGAGUGAUGAAGGUCUUCGGAUCGUAAAACUCUGUUAUUAGGGAAGAACAAAUGUGUAAGUAACUAUGCACGUCUUGACGGUACCUAAUCAGAAAGCCACGGCUAACUACGUG